Molecule: long non-coding RNA, 541 nt
Filed under: Trifolium pratense (red clover)
Lineage: Eukaryota; Viridiplantae; Streptophyta; Magnoliopsida; Fabales; Fabaceae
Description: long non-coding RNA (TPRA_LNC010978)
Source: RNAcentral
GGUAUUUUCAUUUCUCUUCUUUGCCACAUUAUUCAUUCCCUCAAUUCUAACAUUUAGAUUGUAAUGUGUGUAUUUAAGAUAAGGUAAUUACACAUGAAUGAAAGAGAAACGAGUAAGGGAACAGACUGUGCCCAUAACCCUUUUUGGAUGACAAAACCAACCCUCUUAGAAACAUUUAGAUCAAUAUUCAUGGUAUCUUGUAGUAUUGGGGGAAAGGAAAUUAGGCAGCUUUGAUGUUUACUUUAAGUUAUGGUUCCUCAUUAAUGUUUUAAAACCCGAACCGGACAUAGAACCGGUGAGACUGAGACCUCUGGGUCAUGGUUCACAUGAGUUUCACCCAAUUAGAGAAUGAAUGCUAGAGAGUGUUGCUAGCACUCCUCUUAGGUCAUUGCGUCUGACUAUGCUGCUUUGUUUAUGUCAUUGUUUUGGCUUUGUAGCUGAGGUUUCUAACGGAAUUCCCGAAGAGGCACGUGAAAGAAUGUUGUAUUCUGACAUAAACUCACAGAUUGGUAGUUGCAUGCCUCUCUCUUCAAUGCGAAUU